Long non-coding RNA from Vigna unguiculata (cowpea), 472 nucleotides. RefSeq lists it as uncharacterized. The record is from RefSeq and is a predicted model, not a curated record. NCBI's taxonomy places the organism in Eukaryota, Viridiplantae, Streptophyta, Magnoliopsida, Fabales, Fabaceae.
GGGGCUCUGUAUCGUAUGGUGCGGGAAUCUAUAGUGGUCUUCGUAAGCGGUGUUAGGUCAGGGCUUGCACAGUUACGCUGCGUUUCACUACGAACCUUUACAUUUUCAAUUGGAGAUUAUGGAUGAGAAAGCAGGAGAUAGCAGCACAGUGAAGAAAAUAAAUUCAGGUUGUGAUGUUGAUGCUUUAAAAAAGUGUUUGGAAGAGAACAAGGGAGAUUAUGUCAAAUGUCAGAAACAGAUUGAGGCUUUCAAAUCAUCAUGCUCACUCAAAAAACCAAACCAAUCUCUUGAUUCUGCUUCACGUUAGGUCAAAUUCGAUGGUUCUGAUUCUGCAGUUUAUUUCUGGGUUUUCCGUCUUAUGGUAAAGGGAUGAUUAUUAUGAACUGAAGUUUCUGUCUUUCUAGAUGAUAUUUCUCAGUUGUAUCAAUAUUUAUUCAUAAUAAUGAUAAUUGUGAUACUAUCUUUUUAUAAA